Molecule: ribosomal RNA, 253 nt
Filed under: uncultured bacterium
Lineage: Bacteria
Description: partial 16S ribosomal RNA
Rfam family: Bacterial small subunit ribosomal RNA
Source: RNAcentral
UACGGAGGGAGCUAGCGUUGUUCGGAAUUACUGGGCGUAAAGCGCGCGUAGGCGGCUUUGUAAGUUAGAGGUGAAAGCCCGGAGCUCAACUCCGGAACUGCCUUUAAGACUGCAUCGCUUGAAUCCAGGAGAGGUGAGUGGAAUUCCGAGUGUAGAGGUGAAAUUCGUAGAUAUCCGGAGGAACACCGGUGGCGAAGGCGGCUUCCUGGACCGAUACUGACGCUGAGGCGCGAAAGCUAGGGGAGCAAACGGG